Molecule: small nucleolar RNA, 134 nt
Organism: Mesocricetus auratus (golden hamster)
Lineage: Eukaryota; Metazoa; Chordata; Mammalia; Rodentia; Cricetidae
Gene: SNORA70
Rfam family: Small nucleolar RNA SNORA70
About the family: snoRNA U70 seems to be exclusive to mammals and is a member of the H/ACA class of snoRNA which contain H (ANANNA) and ACA box motifs. H/ACA box snoRNAs are involved in the conversion of uridines to pseudouridines (5-ribosyluracil) a constituent of structural RNAs (transfer, ribosomal, small nuclear, and small nucleolar).
Source: Ensembl
CAGCAACCAGUUAAAAUAACCAGGUUCCUUUUCUCAGGGGGACUUUGUGUGCCAGUGCUGCCAGCAGCCGCUCCCUUGGGAAUGCAUGCAGCCUCUUGCUUGUAUGGGUUCUGCAGGCACCCCUGAAGACCAUU